AUAGCCGCAAGGUUGAACCAGCAACUUGGAGGAAUGUACACAAUUGUUGAAUGCAUUAUAAUGAUGCAUUAUUGAAGUCAAAUAAAAUUCUGGGUAGAUUGUGAUGAUGACAUUUUCUAUCUAUAUGUCUUGACCAACCCACGUGCCAGCAGUCGCGGUAAGACGUUAAAGACAAGUGUUAUUCAUGUUUAAUCGGUUUAAAGAGUACCAAGACUGUUAAUAAAGCCCAUAAAGGGGACACAUUAACUAGAGUUAUAUGAAAAGGGGCUGGAAGGUACUGUUGAGUGUAGAGAUGAUAUUCUUUGAUACCAGAUGAUUGGCACCGUUGAAUGCGAAGGCAUCUCCUUAUGUUAUAACUGACGUUGUAGGACGAAGGCUUAGGAAAUAAAAAGGAUUAGUUACCCAAGUAAUCUAGGCAGAAAAUGAUGAAUGUCAUAGGUUAAAUUUGAUCUAUAAAUGAAAGUGUAAGCAUUCCACCUCAAGAGUAAUUUGGCAACAUUGGAACUGAAAUCAUUAGACCGUUUUUGAAACCUGUAGUGAAGUAUGUUGUUUAAUUAGACGAUCCGCACAAAACCUUACCACAAUUUGAAUAAAUAUUUUUAUAUGUAUUUACAAGUGUUGCACGGCUGUCUUAAGUUAAUGUCGUGAGAUUUUGGUUUGUUCCAUUAAAUUGACGGAAACCCUAGCUUUAUUUAUUGAUAAAGUUGUUCGAAGAGAAAUCGUUUAUGUUAACAGGGACCAUGACAAGUCAU
RNAcentral lists this ribosomal RNA (752 nucleotides) under Nephroma resupinatum. RNAcentral's name for it is "SSU rRNA". It matches the Rfam family "Bacterial small subunit ribosomal RNA", at positions 371 to 1193 of the family's 1533-position model. The record is from RNAcentral. Lineage: Eukaryota; Fungi; Ascomycota; Lecanoromycetes; Peltigerales; Nephromataceae.